GCUGUCAAAACCCUAAUCCUAGUUCCAGCUCUCCUCUUUGUAACACCAUGGGAGACGUGGUCGAAGCUCCAACGCCGGACUUUCUCGGCGACCUCGACUUCGACCGCCUCCUGGAGGGGUUCUUCAAUGAUUCGGCUCUCGAUCUCUCCCCCGAGCUGUGGAACUCGGAGCCAUCGCCGGACGAAUCCAAGUUCGCGGGUUCCGUCAGCACCGGCCGGUCCACCGAGCGCUUGAUCCCGGAACCACCGCCGGAGCAGUCGGAUUCGCCGGAUUCCAUGCAUUCGUUCGUGAACGAGAUCGAGAAGUUUCUCAUGGAGGAUGGGGGGGGAGGUGAAGAUGUCAUCGACGAUGAGUUCUUGGCAGGGUUCUUCUCUGAUGUAUCGGCGGACUCCGGGAAGAGCGAGGUUGCCAGCCCCGAGGCGGAGCCGGUGCCCGCUG
Molecule: long non-coding RNA, 438 nt
Filed under: Elaeis guineensis (African oil palm)
Lineage: Eukaryota; Viridiplantae; Streptophyta; Magnoliopsida; Arecales; Arecaceae
Description: long non-coding RNA (EGUI_LNC005552)
Source: RNAcentral